Molecule: ribosomal RNA, 484 nt
Filed under: uncultured bacterium
Lineage: Bacteria
Description: partial 16S ribosomal RNA
Rfam family: Bacterial small subunit ribosomal RNA
Source: RNAcentral
AUUGAACGCUGGCGGCAUGCUUUACACAUGCAAGUCGAACGGCAGCGCGGGCUUCGGCCUGGCGGCGAGUGGCGAACGGGUGAGUAAUACAUCGGAACGUGCCCAGUAGUGGGGGAUAGCUCGGCGAAAGCCGGAUUAAUACCGCAUACGACCUGGGGGUGAAAGCGGGGGGUCUUCGGACCUCGCGCUAUUUGAGCGGCCGAUGGCAGAUUAGCUAGUUGGUGGGGUAAAGGCCUACCAAGGCGACGAUCUGUAGCUGGUCUGAGAGGACGACCAGCCACACUGGGACUGAGACACGGCCCAGACUCCUACGGGAGGCAGCAGUGGGGAAUUUUGGACAAUGGGCGAAAGCCUGAUCCAGCAAUGCCGCGUGUGUGAUGAAGGCCUUCGGGUUGUAAAGCACUUUUGGCGGGAACGAAAAGGACUGUGCCAAUACCACGGUUCGAUGACGGUACCCGCAGAAUAAGCACCGGCUAACUACGUG